Molecule: ribosomal RNA, 407 nt
Filed under: uncultured bacterium
Lineage: Bacteria
Description: partial 16S ribosomal RNA
Rfam family: Bacterial small subunit ribosomal RNA
Source: RNAcentral
GACGAACGCUGGCGGCGUGCCUAAUACAUGCAAGUAGAACGCAGUUGCGAACGGGUGAGUAACGCGUAGGUCACUGCCUGGUAGCGGGGGAUAACUAUUGGAAACGAUAGCUAAUACCGCAUACUACCAGAUGGACCUUCGUUGUAUUAGGUAGUUGGUGAGGUAACGGCUCACCAAGGCAACGAUACAUAGCCGACAUGAGAGGGGUGUGGGCCAAAAUGGGACUGAGACACGGCCCAGACUCCUACGGGAGGCAGCAGUAGGGAAUCUUCGGCGAUGGGGGGAACCCUGACGCAGCAACGCCGCGGGAGUGAAGAAGGUUUUCGGAUCGUAAAUCUCUGUUGUGAAGGAGGCGGUACUUAACCAGAAAGGGACGGCUAACUACGUGCCAGCAGCCGCGGUAAUAC